CUUUGGAUGAGGUGCAUAAACCUGUUAUGGAUUUUGUCAUAUCACAGUGCCUCUAUGAUUUCUAUCUCAACCAACUCAAAGUAGUAAACAUUAGAGGCAUUGUUGGGACAAGAACUGAAUUGGAAUUCAUAAAACUUUUGCUUGCUCAUUCGCCAAUGUUGGAAUCAAUGACUAUUGUGAAAUACAGCGGCGAAAGGAUUUUAGAAUCAGUGUUGCUGCAACUUGAGCGGGCUUCAGAGCAUGUGAAGUUUAUAAGUU
RNAcentral lists this unclassified non-coding RNA (258 nucleotides) under Hevea brasiliensis (rubber tree). Lineage: Eukaryota; Viridiplantae; Streptophyta; Magnoliopsida; Malpighiales; Euphorbiaceae. The record is from RNAcentral.